Molecule: transfer RNA, 75 nt
Filed under: Candidatus Obscuribacterales bacterium
Lineage: Bacteria; Bacillati; Candidatus Melainabacteria; Candidatus Obscuribacterales
Description: tRNA-Glu
Rfam family: tRNA
About the family: Transfer RNA (tRNA) molecules are approximately 80 nucleotides in length. Their secondary structure includes four short double-helical elements and three loops (D, anti-codon, and T loops). Further hydrogen bonds mediate the characteristic L-shaped molecular structure. tRNAs have two regions of fundamental functional importance: the anti-codon, which is responsible for specific mRNA codon recognition, and the 3' end, to which the tRNAs corresponding amino acid is attached (by aminoacyl-tRNA synthetases). tRNAs cope with the degeneracy of the genetic code in two manners: having more than one tRNA (with a specific anti-codon) for a particular amino acid; and 'wobble' base-pairing, i.e. permitting non-standard base-pairing at the 3rd anti-codon position.
Source: RNAcentral
GGCACUGUCUUCUAAUGGUUAGGAAGGUGGACUUUCACUCCGCAAAUGCGAGUUCGAUUCUCGUCAGUGCUCCCA